GCACUUCGGGAUAAGCCUGGGAAACUGGGUCUAAUACCGAAUAGGACCAUUUAGCGCAUGCUUUAUGGUGGAAAGCUUUUGCGGUGUGGGAUGGGCCCGCGGCCUAUCAGCUUGUUGGUGGGGUGACGGCCUACCAAGGCGACGACGGGUAGCCGGCCUGAGAGGGUGUCCGGCCACACUGGGACUGAGAUACGGCCCAGACUCCUACGGGAGGCAGCAGUGGGGAAUAUUGCACAAUGGGCGCAAGCCUGAUGCAGCGACGCCGCGUGGGGGAUGACGGCCUUCGGGUUGUAAACCUCUUUCAGCAGGGACGAAGCGCAAGUGACGGUACCUGCAGAAGAAGCACCGGCCAACUACGUGCCAGCAGCCGCGGUAAUACGUAGGGUGCGAGCGUUGUCCGGAAUUACUGGGCGUAAGGAGCUCGUAGGUGGUUUGUCGCGUUGUUCGUGAAAACCGGGGGCUUAACCCUCGGCGUGCGGGCGAUACGGGCAGACUGGAGUACUGCAGGGGAGACUGGAAUUCCUGGUGUAGCGGUGGAAUGCGCAGAUAUCAGGAGGAACACCGGUGGCGAAGGCGGGUCUCUGGGCAGUAACUGACGCUGAGGAGCGAAAGCGUGGGGAGCGAACAGGAUUAGAUACCCUGGUAGUCCACGCCGUAAACGGUGGGUACUAGGUGUGGGUUUCCUU
Molecule: ribosomal RNA, 686 nt
Filed under: uncultured Mycobacterium sp.
Lineage: Bacteria; Bacillati; Actinomycetota; Actinomycetes; Mycobacteriales; Mycobacteriaceae
Description: bacterial SSU rRNA
Rfam family: Bacterial small subunit ribosomal RNA
Source: RNAcentral